Molecule: long non-coding RNA, 1105 nt
Organism: Cyprinus carpio carpio
Lineage: Eukaryota; Metazoa; Chordata; Actinopteri; Cypriniformes; Cyprinidae
Source: Ensembl
UUUGUUUUGUUUUGUUUUAAUGUGUUAUUUCAACAGCAGCACCAUCCUGCUCAUUUUAUUUGGCUAAAGUGUUUUGGAUUUUAUAGACUAUUGUUUCCUGUUACUAAAGCCCAGAAGCACCAUUUAACAUAAACGCAUGUCUUCAGUCUGAAAUAAUGGAGAAUGUUUACAGACUGCCUCUGGAAAUUUCUACACUGUGGUGGGUGGUUACGUGCUGGUCUGUGUGGACUAAAGCGUUUAAUAAUUUUGUGUUAAUGAGAACAAUAGUAUAAGUAGGAUGUGUGAGCUGUCAUUCACUACACGGAUCUGUCAUCAAUGUCAUGGAAUUUAGGUACAUUAAAUCAGCCACUUCCUGUGGAUGGAGCAGGUGCCAGAAAGAAGAGACUGCUGUAGUGAAAACACUAAUUAUUCGACUUGUAUGCAAAUUUUUUUUUUGUGGGUAGUUUUCCCGCCGCAGCCUGUGAUGUGAUGAUCUGGAGUGUCUGAAUGGAUGCCGUCCACCCCAGCACUGAGUCUCAGGAAGGGUAUGCUUUUUCCUGAUCAGACACAACGAAUCACUGAUCCGUGUGUGUGUGUGAAGCAUUUGAUUCUCCCAUCACACUAGAACAAACAAAAGCAUGUUUCUAUAGUUUAGUUUGUGGGAGAGUGAGAAUGCACAUUUAUGCAUUUCAUGGUAGAUGCAUUACAAUUGCCUCUUUUAUUUGCCAAAUUGAAACCAAUUAUGAAAUCCAAUGAAGUGAACAUUUUUGUAUUGAAUCUAAUGUUGUUUGUUUUGAUUCAUUUGAUGAACUGGAUGAUUUUUGGAGCCCCUGUGAAAGCGGUUGAAUGUAUAUGUUUGUACAGAAGUGUUUAGCUCAGAAGAUCUUAGAGAACAAAUAGAAAUGUGAGCGAAGAAAAGCAAAAUAACCUUUUUAUAAAACUUUUGUAUUAGUACAUUAACAAUGGUAAUUUUGUAUAUAUGAAGACUAGGCUUUCUGAGUAGCAGAAAGAAAAACAUUCCUACAUUUUUUUUAAAUGUAAGUUUGUCAGAAAUAAUUAUGUAAACAUGCGCAAUGUUUUAUGUGCCUUUUAUUUGGAUUGUCUAAAUAAAAACUGUAAAACAUGA